RNAcentral lists this ribosomal RNA (494 nucleotides) under uncultured bacterium. Its description in RNAcentral is "partial 16S ribosomal RNA". It matches the Rfam family "Bacterial small subunit ribosomal RNA", at positions 28 to 507 of the family's 1533-position model. The record is from RNAcentral.
GACGAACGCUGGCGGCGUGCUUAACACAUGCAAGUCGAACGGAAAGGCCUGCUUUCCUUUGUGGACUGCGGGUACUCGAGUGUCGAUCGGGUGAGUAACACGUGAGUGAUCUGUUCCCAACUUGGGUAUAAGCCUGGGCAACUGGGUCUUAUUCCCGCUAGGACUGCAGGGUGGUGUCUGUGGUGGAAAACGAUGUUGUAGUGGUCGGGGAUGAGCUCGCGGCAUGUUAGCUUGUUGGUGGGGUAAUGGUCUACCACGGCGGCGACGGGUAGCCGGCCUGGGAGGGAGGACGGCCACAUUUGGACUGAGAUACGGCCCAUACGCCUACGGUGGGCAGCAGUGGGGAGUAGGGCACAAUGAACGGAAGCCUAAGGCAGCGACGCCGCGUGGGGGAUGCCGCCCGUCGGGUGAUAACCUCCUUUCGGCCGCGCGGAAUCCACCUGGUUGGAAGGGUGGUGACGGUAGUGGUAGAAGAAGCACCGGCUAACUACGUG